AAGAUUUUAAGUUAAAUAAACUAAUAGCCUUCAAAGCUGUAAAUAGAAAGACAAUUUUUAAAUCUUA
This 67-nucleotide transfer RNA is filed under the name Camptonotus carolinensis (leaf-rolling cricket). Its description in RNAcentral is "tRNA-Trp". It matches the Rfam family "tRNA". Rfam says of the family: Transfer RNA (tRNA) molecules are approximately 80 nucleotides in length. The record is from RNAcentral. Lineage: Eukaryota; Metazoa; Arthropoda; Insecta; Orthoptera; Gryllacrididae.